CCCUUAGAUGUUCUGGGCCGCACGCGCGCUACACUGACGCAUGCAACGAGCUUAUAAUAACCUUGGCCGAAAGGUCUGGGUAAUCUCCAAAUUUCGUCGUGAUGGGGAUAGAUUAUUGCAAUUAUUAAUCUUCAACGAGGAAUGCCUAGUAAGCGCAAGUCAUCAGCUUGCGUUGAUUACGUCCCUGCCCUUUGUACACACCGCCCGUCGCUCCUACCGAUUGAAUGGUCCGGUGAAGCGUUCGGACCGUGGCCUUUGGACGGUUCGCCGUCUGUUGGCUGCGGGAAGUUCGUUAAACCUUAUCAUUUAGAGGAAGGAGAAGUCGUAACA
RNAcentral lists this ribosomal RNA (330 nucleotides) under uncultured eukaryote. Its description in RNAcentral is "partial 18S ribosomal RNA". It matches the Rfam family "Eukaryotic small subunit ribosomal RNA", at positions 1470 to 1796 of the family's 1831-position model. The record is from RNAcentral.